AUGGCGGCCAAGACCGCAGGCGUGGGGCACUGGUAGGUGGGGAAGAAGGGCCGGCGGCCUGGGGCCGGCGCCAGCGGCAGAGGCGGCGAGAACCGCCCGGCGCUCGGGGAAGCAAACGGAGUGUGGAAAUACGACCUGACUCCUCCAGUCCACACCACAAGCACCCUUUAUGAGCGGGGCUUUGAGAAUAUCAUGAAGCAGCAGAAUAAGGAGCAGGUCCCACCCCCUGCUGUGGAGCCUAAGAAACCAGGGAACAAGAAGUAGCCAAAGAAGGUGGCAACUCUUCCCAACCAAAACCAGAUUCCGCAGCCUGGAGGAAGCACUGAAAGCUCUGGAUGUGGCAGCCCUGCAGAAGGAACUGGACAAGAGUCAGAGCAUGUUCUCUGGAAACCCAUCCAUAUGGUUGAAGGACCUGGCCAGCUAUCUCAACUACAAGCUACAAGCUCCUCUAAGUGAACCCACGCUGAGCCAGCAUACUCAUGAUUAUCCCUAGAGCCUGGUGAGCCGGGAGCUGCGUGGGAUCAUCCGAGGGCUGCUGGCGAAGGCAGCAGGGUCUCUGGAGCUCUUUUUUGACCACUGUCUGUUCACCAUGCUGCAGGAGCUGGAUAAGACACCAGGGGAGUCACUACAUGGUUACCGCUUCUGUAUCCAGGCCAUCCUGCAAGACAAGCCCAAGAUUGCCACGGCAAACCUAGGCAAGUUCCUGGAACUACUGAGGUCCCACCAGAGCCCACCAGCAAAGUGUCCGACCAUUAUGUGGGCCCUGGGUCAAGCGGGUUUUGCCAACCUCACGGAGGGACUGAAAGUGUGACUGGGGAUCCUGCUGCCUGUGCUGGGCAUCAAGUCUCUGUCUCCCUUUGCCAUUACAUACCUGGAUCCGCUGCUCCUGAUGCAUCCCAGCCUUACCAAGGGCUUCGGCAUGAUUGGCCCCAAGGACUUCUUCCCACUUCUAGACUUUGCCUAUAUGCCGAACAACUCCCUGACACCCAGCCUGCAGGAGCAGCUAUGUCAGCUCUACCCCCAACUGAAGGUGCUGGGAUUUGGAGCAAAGCCGGAUUCCACCCCACAUACCUACUUCCCUUCUUUCCUGUCCAGAGCCACCCCUAGGUGUCCCCCUGAGAUGAAGAAAGAGCUCCUGAGCAGUCUGACCGAGUGCCUGACAGUGGACCCCCUCAGCGCCAGUGUCUGGAGGCAGCUGUACCCUAAGCACCUGUCACAGUCCAGCCUGCUGCUGGAGCACUUGCUCAGCUCCUGGGAGCAGAUUCCCAAGAAGGUACAGAAGUCUUUGCAAGAAACCAUUCAGUCCCUCAAGCUUACCAACCAGGAGCUGCUGAGGAAGGGCAACGGUAACAACCAAGAUGUUGUCACCUGUGACAUGGCCUGCAAGGGCCUGUUGCAGCAAGCUCAGGGUCCUCGGCUGCCCUGGACGCGGCUCCUCCUGUUGCUGCUGGUCUUCGCUGUAGGCUUCCUGUGCCAUGACCUCCUGUCACACAGCUCCUUCCAGGCCUCCCUUACUGGCCGGUUGCUUCGAACAUCUGGUUUCUUACCUGCCAGCCAACAAGCAUGUGCCAAGCUCUACUCCUACAGACUGCAAGGUUAUAGCUGACUGGAGAAGACACUGCCUGUCUGGGGCUCCCACCUGCUCACCAUGGUGCAGCCCAGCUUGCAGCUGGCCUGGGCUUACAUCAAUGCCACAGUCAGCUUCUUUUCUGCCCACUGUGCCUCUCACCUUGCCUGGUUUGGUGACAGCCUCACCAGCCUCUCUCAGAGGCUACAGAUCCAGCUCCCUGACUGCCUGAAUCAGCUGCUCCGCUAUCUGAGAGAGCUGCCCCUGCUUUUCUACCAGGAUGUGCUGCUGCCAUUGUGGCACCUCUUGCUUGAGGCCCUGGCCAGCGCCCACGAGCACUGCUAGGAGGCAUGCAGAGGUGAGGUGACCUGGGACUGCAUGAAGACACAGCUCAGUGAAGCUGUCCACUGGACCUGGCUCUGCCUACAGACAUCACAGUGGCUUUCUUGGACUGGGCACUUGCCCUGAUAUCCCAGCAGUAG
Rhinopithecus roxellana (golden snub-nosed monkey) is the source of this 2049-nucleotide RNA transcript. It is a transcript of the gene named transmembrane protein 214 pseudogene, with no coding region annotated. The record is from RefSeq and is a predicted model, not a curated record. The transcript has a single exon. NCBI's taxonomy places the organism in Eukaryota, Metazoa, Chordata, Mammalia, Primates, Cercopithecidae.